UUGAAAAUUGAAGAAUUGAACGGUUAUUAAAAUAUUUAACUUUUAAUGUUAAUCUCAAAAUGACGGCCACGGUAACUAAACAUAACGUAACUAAACGUAACGUACCUAAACGUAAGAAAAUUCGGUCAAGCGCGUUUCAUUUUUAUUUUUUUAGUUUUAGAGCUAAUGUGAGUUAAGUAGUUCAAUUAUAAAUCACCCUGUAUAAUAAUCACAUAGAAAAGGAGGCUACAUUGUAACCUACGAUCAGAAGUCAUCGCGUCGUAUAUACGGACAUAUUAUUCUUUAAUAAUAAUAAUACAAAAAUGAGGAUUUUGUACGUCUUAUUUUUGUGUUUCUCACUGGUUGCGGCACGGUACCCAAUCGAUGACUUCGGCCAUGAUUAUUGGUAUCUACGACAUCUUUACUCGGAAAAUAAAUUAAGAUAUAUGUACUUUAAAUCUACUGUCAAACCACCUCCGAUGAAGAAUUGAAGUACACACUAUAAUAUGGAACAAGAGACCACGUAAGAACCAUCAUCAUCAGCCUGAAGAUAUCCACUGCUGAACAAACACCUCUUUAGUCUACCAUCAUCAACGAAAAACAACUCAGCACAGAACAGUACCUUGCAAGUCUUACUCGUUUAUGUUACGUAGUUUAACGACAUCUAUGUUUUGAUUCUUGUAAUUAAAAUGAAUUAUAAGAUUU
Molecule: non-coding RNA, 684 nt
Organism: Spodoptera litura
Lineage: Eukaryota; Metazoa; Arthropoda; Insecta; Lepidoptera; Noctuidae
Source: RefSeq, a predicted model, not a curated record